Molecule: ribosomal RNA, 844 nt
Filed under: Corynebacterium pseudotuberculosis
Lineage: Bacteria; Bacillati; Actinomycetota; Actinomycetes; Mycobacteriales; Corynebacteriaceae
Description: bacterial SSU rRNA
Rfam family: Bacterial small subunit ribosomal RNA
Source: RNAcentral
GCAGCCGCGGUAAUACGUAGGGUGCGAGCGUUGCCCGGAAUUACUGGGCGUAAAGAGCUCGUAGGUGGUUUGUCGCGUCGUCUGUGAAAUUCCGGGGCUUAACUCCGGGCGUGCAGGCGAUACGGGCAUAACUUGAGUGCUGUAGGGGAGACUGGAAUUCCUGGUGUAGCGGUGGAAUGCGCAGAUAUCAGGAGGAACACCGAUGGCGAAGGCAGGUCUCUGGGCAGUAACUGACGCUGAGGAGCGAAAGCAUGGGGAGCGAACAGGAUUAGAUACCCUGGUAGUCCAUGCCGUAAACGGUGGGCGCUAGGUGUGAGGGUCUUCCACGACUUUCGUGCCGUAGCUAACGCAUUAAGCGCCCNGCCUGGGGAGUACGGCCGCAAGGCUAAAACUCAAAGGAAUUGACGGGGGCCNGCACAAGCGGCGGAGCAUGUGGAUUAAUUCGAUGCAACGCGAACAACCUUACCUGGGCUUGACAUAUACAAGAUCGGCGUAGAGAUACGUUUUCCCUUGUGGUUCGUAUACAGGUGGUGCAUGGUUGUCGUCAGCUCGUGUCGUGAGAUGUUGGGUUAAGUCCCGCAACGAGCGCAACCCUUGUCUUAUGUUGCCAGCACGUGAUGGUGGGGACUCAUGAGAGACUGCCGGGGUUAACUCGGAGGAAGGUGGGGAUGACGUCAAAUCAUCAUGCCCCUUAUGUCCAGGGCUUCACACAUGCUACAAUGGUCGGUACAACGCGUUGCGAGCCUGUGAGGGUGAGCGAAUCGCUGAAAGCCGGCCUCAGUUCGGAUUGGGGUCUGCAACUCGACCCCAUGAAGUCGGAGUCGCUAGUAAUCGCAGAUCAGCA